Molecule: unclassified non-coding RNA, 702 nt
Filed under: Hevea brasiliensis (rubber tree)
Lineage: Eukaryota; Viridiplantae; Streptophyta; Magnoliopsida; Malpighiales; Euphorbiaceae
Source: RNAcentral
GGAAAGUGCUGAGGUGCUGACUGACCACUCGACUAGGGUUAAUGAUUGCAGAAGUAUUGUACACCGCUGGCUGGCAAGUAAACUUGACCCUAAUGGUGCAAAAGAUGUUCUUAGGGGACUAUCUAAUUGCAAAAAUAAUAAAGUGUGCCCUCUGGUGUUCCCAAAUACGAGUCAUGUUACAGAAGCUUGUGGAGAUGGAAUGAAUAACCAAACAGCAUGCUGUGAUACCAUUGAGAGCUAUGUCUCCCACUUACAAAGGCAGAGUUUUGUAACCAACUUGCAAGCUUUGGGUUGCGCUGCAUCAUUUGGACUCAAGUUACAGAAAGCCAAUGUGAGCAAAAAUAUAUACAAACUUUGUCACAUUAGCCUCAAGGACUUCUCUGUGCAAGUUGCACCCGAAGUUUCUGGGUGUCUUUUGCCUAGUCUACCAUCAGAUGCUGUACUUGACCAAAGUUCGGGGAUCAGCUUCGUCUGUGAUUUGAACGAUAACAUUCCAGCCCCUUGGCCAUCUCUCUCUCACUUACCAGUUUCCUCAUGCAAUAAAUCUGUGAAAAUUCCUGCACUUCCUGCGGCAGCAUCUGGCCAGCUCAGUCUGAAUAGCUUGAGCAUCGGGUCUCAUCUGCGUCUCUUAGCCUUGACGGCUCUUGGAAGCCUCUUUUAUACUUAAUGCUGCCACUCCUGCUCAAUUAACCUUGAUGGCGA